GACGAACGCUGGCGGCGUGCCUAAUACAUGCAAGUAGAACGCACAGUUUAUACCGUAGCUUGCUCCACCAUAGACUGUGAGUUGCGAACGGGUGAGUAACGCGUAGGUAACCUGCCUGGUAGCGGGGGAUAACUAUUGGAAACGAUAGCUAAUACCGCAUAAUAUUAAUUAUUGCAUGAUAAUUAAUUGAAAGUUGCAAUUGCACCACUACCAGAUGGACCUGCGUUGUAUUAGCUAGUAGGUGAGGUAACGGCUCACCUAGGCGACGAUACAUAGCCGACCUCGGAGGGGGAUCGGCCACACUGGGAAUGAGACACGGCCCAGACUCCUCCAGGAGGCAGAAGUAGGGAAAAUUUGGCAAUGGACGAAAGACUGACCGAGAGACGCCGCGUGAGUGAAGAAGGGUUUCGGAUCGUAAAGAUCUGUUGUAAGAGAAGAAAGGGUGUGAGAGUGGAAAGUUCACACUGUGACGGUAUCUUACAAGAAAGGGACGGCUAACUACGUG
RNAcentral lists this ribosomal RNA (505 nucleotides) under uncultured bacterium. Its description in RNAcentral is "partial 16S ribosomal RNA". It matches the Rfam family "Bacterial small subunit ribosomal RNA", at positions 28 to 507 of the family's 1533-position model. The record is from RNAcentral.